Molecule: ribosomal RNA, 579 nt
Filed under: Scedosporium boydii
Lineage: Eukaryota; Fungi; Ascomycota; Sordariomycetes; Microascales; Microascaceae
Description: eukaryotic LSU rRNA
Rfam family: 5.8S ribosomal RNA (bases 157-310)
Source: RNAcentral
CUCCAACCCAUUGUGACCUUACCUAUGUUCUGUUGCCUCGGCGGCGUGGUCAGCGCCCCUCUGAAAAGAGGACGAUGCCCUCCCGCCGGCAGCACCAAACUCUUUGAAUUUUACAGCGGAUUACAGUUCUGAUUUGAAAACAAAAAAACAAGUUAAAACUUUCAACAACGGAUCUCUUGGUUCUGGCAUCGAUGAAGAACGCAGCGAAAUGCGAUAAGUAAUGUGAAUUGCAGAAUUCAGUGAAUCAUCGAAUCUUUGAACGCACAUUGCGCCCGGCAGUAAUCUGCCGGGCAUGCCUGUCCGAGCGUCAUUUCAACCCUCGAACCUCCGUUUCCUCAGGGAAGCUCAGGGUCGGUGUUGGGGCGCUACGGCGAGUCUUCGCGACCCUCCGUAGGCCCUGAAAUACAGUGGCGGUCCCGCCGCGGUUGCCUUCUGCGUAGUAAGUCUCUUUUGCAAGCUCGCAUUGGGUCCCGGCGGAGGCCUGCCGUCAAACCACCUAUAACUCCAGAUGGUUUGACCUCGGAUCAGGUAGGGUUACCCGCUGAACUUAAGCAUAUCAAUAAGCGGAGGGAAAAGAAA